Molecule: ribosomal RNA, 460 nt
Filed under: uncultured bacterium
Lineage: Bacteria
Description: partial 16S ribosomal RNA
Rfam family: Bacterial small subunit ribosomal RNA
Source: RNAcentral
CCUACGGGAGACAGCAGUGAGGAAUAUUGGUCAAUGGGCGCAAGCCUGAACCAGCCAAGUCGCGUGAGGGAUGACGGUCCUAUGGAUUGUAAACCUCUUUUGUCGGGGAGCAAGGCCCGCCACGUGUGGCGGGAAGGAGAGUACCCGAAGAAAAAGCAUCGGCUAACUCCGUGCCAGCAGCCGCGGUAAUACGGAGGAUGCGAGCGUUAUCCGGAUUUAUUGGGUUUAAAGGGUGCGUAGGCGGAAGGUUAAGUCAGCGGUCAAAUGUCGGUGCUCAACACCGGCCUGCCGUUGAAACUGGUCGUCUUGAGUGAGCGAGAAGUAUGCGGAAUGCGUGGUGUAGCGGUGAAAUGCAUAGAUAUCACGCAGAACUCCGAUUGCGAAGGCAGCAUACCGGCGCUCAACUGACGCUGAGGCACGAAAGCGUGGGGAUCGAACAGGAUUAGAUACCCCUGUAGUC